CAAAUUGAGAGUUUGAUCCUGGCUCAGGAUGAACGCUGGCGGCGUGCCUAAUACAUGCAAGUCGAACGCUUUGUGGUUCAACUGAUUUGAAGAGCUUGCUCAGAUAUGACGAUGGACAUUGCAAAGAGUGGCGAACGGGUGAGUAACACGUGGGAAACCUACCUCUUAGCAGGGGAUAACAUUUGGAAACAGAUGCUAAUACCGUAUAACAAUGACAACCGCAUGGUUGUUAUUUAAAAGAUGGUUCUGCUAUCACUAAGAGAUGGUCCCGCGGUGCAUUAGCUAGUUGGUAAGGUAAUGGCUUACCAAGGCGAUGAUGCAUAGCCGAGUUGAGAGACUGAUCGGCCACAAUGGGACUGAGACACGGCCCAUACUCCUACGGGAGGCAGCAGUAGGGAAUCUUCCACAAUGGGCGAAAGCCUGAUGGAGCAACGCCGCGUGUGUGAUGAAGGGUUUCGGCUCGUAAAACACUGUUGUAAGAGAAGAAUGACAUUGAGAGUAACUGUUCAAUGUGUGACGGUAUCUUACCAGAAAGGAACGGCUAAAUACGUGCCAGCAGCCGCGGUAAUACGUAUGUUCCAAGCGUUAUCCGGAUUUAUUGGGCGUAAAGCGAGCGCAGACGGUUAUUUAAGUCUGAAGUGAAAGCCCUCAGCUCAACUGAGGAAUUGCUUUGGAAACUGGAUGACUUGAGUGCAGUAGAGGAAAGUGGAACUCCAUGUGUAGCGGUGAAAUGCGUAGAUAUAUGGAAGAACACCAGUGGCGAAGGCGGCUUUCUGGACUGUAACUGACGUUGAGGCUCGAAAGUGUGGGUAGCAAACAGGAUUAGAUACCCUGGUAGUCCACACCGUAAACGAUGAGUGCUAGGUGUUUGAGGGUUUCCGCCCUUAAGUGCCGCAGCUAACGCAUUAAGCACUCCGCCUGGGGAGUACGACCGCAAGGUUGAAACUCAAAGGAAUUGACGGGGACCCGCACAAGCGGUGGAGCAUGUGGUUUAAUUCGAAGCAACGCGAAGAACCUUACCAGGUCUUGACAUCCCUUGACAACUCCAGAGAUGGAGUGUUCCCUUCGGGGACAAGGUGACAGGUGGUGCAUGGUUGUCGUCAGCUCGUGUCGUGAGAUGUUGGGUUAAGUCCCGCAACGAGCGCAACCCUUAUUACUAGUUGCCAGCAUUCAGUUGGGCACUCUAGUGAGACUGCCGGUGACAAACCGGAGGAAGGUGGGGAUGACGUCAAAUCAUCAUGCCCCUUAUGACCUGGGCUACACACGUGCUACAAUGGCGUAUACAACGAGUUGCCAACCCGCGAGGGUGAGCUAAUCUCUUAAAGUACGUCUCAGUUCGGAUUGUAGGCUGCAACUCGCCUACAUGAAGUCGGAAUCGCUAGUAAUCGCGGAUCAGCACGCCGCGGUGAAUACGUUCCCGGGUCUUGUACACACCGCCCGUCACACCAUGAGAGUUUGUAACACCCAAAGCCGGUGGGGUAACCUUCGGGAGCCAGCCGUCUAAGGUGGGACAGAUGAUUAGGGUGAAGUCGUAACAAGGUAGCCGUAGGAGAACCUGC
RNAcentral lists this ribosomal RNA (1559 nucleotides) under Weissella confusa. Its description in RNAcentral is "bacterial SSU rRNA". It matches the Rfam family "Bacterial small subunit ribosomal RNA". Lineage: Bacteria; Bacillati; Bacillota; Bacilli; Lactobacillales; Lactobacillaceae. The record is from RNAcentral.